This 2740-nucleotide long non-coding RNA is filed under the name Drosophila guanche. Lineage: Eukaryota; Metazoa; Arthropoda; Insecta; Diptera; Drosophilidae. The record is from RNAcentral.
ACUGAAUACUCUAAUGGAAAAUAUAUGCAACGAAAAGUCAAUUUCCGUUAUUCAUUAUUUGUAUACAUAUUCAGAAGUUUAUAUCCGUUACCCCUUUCAUCCUAAACUAUAUAAAGUAUAUAAAGGUCACACAAAAUACAUUUAUUUUGAUAUUGAGGGGCAAGCUUCUUCAUAAAGUCUUGAGGGUAUUAAUUUGAAUGGUAUGUGAGCUCAGAAUAAAAAAAAAUGCAAAAGGUUUGAAGCGCUAACAAUUAAAGCGCACAUGAAGUCGAGAAAAUAACCGACGACGAGAACAGAAAUUGGAAAGAUGUAUGUACAUACAUAUGUUCAUAUAUAUGCAUAUGUGCACACAUACCUAUAUAUGUUUUUAUAUUUAUCUGAAAACAUUUGUCUGUAAAAGAUAAGUAACAAUGUUGAUAAUACGGCAGCAACGAAGACGAGAAGCGACGGCGUUUCCUUAAUAUGCAUACAAUUUUGAAUAAAGCAGUAUAAAAUCUGCAUUUGAAACAAUUGCAGCAUUCAAAUACAAUAACAACUUUUAUUGGUAUAUUUUUUUUUCCAACCCCCAAGGGUCCGGCCACCAACCCCCACCCAUCAUUCUGAACAUGUUGCGGCAGAUCAGGUUCAUACGCCAAGCCCCGAAAACAAAAUCAAAUCAUCAAAACGAAUUUUCGUUCCAUCGCACUUCAGAAAGUCAGCGCACCAACACAUACAUUAUUGCAGUGGCCGUGUGAAUCAAGCCAGAACCGGUUUGGAGCGCUAAAAAAUCAUUGGCUACACGCACUUACACAGAUGUAGCUGGGACUUCUGGCUGCGUGCUCUACACGCCCUAAUACAAAUGUAGCUGGGGCUUCUAGCUGCGUGUUCUACACGCACUAAUACUUGUAACUGCGACAUUGGUAGAGGCCUGGGACUUCCCGACGCACAUUCUGCGGUGACGUUUCGCUUCCUUUGAAUUGACAAUCUACUAUACUAUUUGGUUAGUGCAGAUACCAAGUGUGGUAUGUAGACGUGUCGGUAUUGGUAUUUUGGUGGUAUUUUUUCCCGAGAUUAAUGCUGUUUAUUAUUUAAUUUAAAUAUCCAAUGUAAAUAGAGAAUGUGUUGCAUUCGAAGGAAAUCGAUCGGCAAAAUACUGGAUUUAGCAUUUGGUGGUUGGCAGGCGAUAGUAGAAUGGGCAAGCCGAUAAACGGUGUCGGAGAGCGAGAGAAGGGGAAAAUAGAAGAGUGGCUCGAAAACAUUGCGGGAUCUGCAAGCCAGCUCACCCACACCCUCGAAAAUGCCAUGCUAUGCCCUUGAACUUGGUUCAAGGGCAAUAGAAGAGAUGGACUGCAUAGAGCAGCUACGCUGAACAUGCCGGCAGUGGAAAAAUAAACAUCGGCAGUGUUAGAGCGUUUUGUGUGUGUGACCUUUUAGAAAAAAUUCGAGAAAGAGGAAACAAACAGACCUGCGGGACAAUCUAGAGGACCUUUUUAUCAGCAUCUAAUUAAGAAGUGAGUUAACUCCGUCACCAUAUAUAUUUAUAAAGGGGAAGGGGAGUACAACGGCGAGAUGGAGAAAGGCCGCCGCACUUGGGAAAGGAGAUUCGUAGUUGUUUUGAGUAGUUGUUUGAUCUCAAGUAGAGUACGUAGAUGAUUGUCCGUUAGAUGUAGAGUAAAGUCCGUUGCAUUGUUAUACCCGGUACUCAAAGAGUAAAUAGGGUAUAUUGUAUUUGUGUGGAAUAACGCUUGUAUGUACCGCACAGAAGGAAGCGUUUCCGACCCCAUAAAGUAUAUAUAUUCUUGAUCAGCAUCAAUAGCCGAGUCAAUAGAGCCAUGUCUGUCUGUCCGUCUGUCCGUCUUGUUUGUCGGCUAGUUCUCAGAGACUAUAAGAGCUAGAGCCGCCAAAUUUUGGCUCCGGACUGCCUCCUCAAAGGGCGAAAACCUCCCAAACCUACAGUUUUGAAGAUAAAAGAAAACUAAAAACGCCAUUCCGUAGGUAAUGACCAUAUCUAUCAGAUCACCUAAAUCAUUAUUAUAGCCACAAUGGAGAAAUUAAUUUCCAGUGGCUAAACUUUUCACACUCUUUAUUAAUGACCUGCCUUCUGUAUUAACAAAUUCUCGAGUACUUAUGUAUGCGGAUGAUGUUAAACACUGUGUCCAGUAUAAGGAUUUUUCAUUUCACUCUCGCUUGCAAUCUGAUCUCAAUAGCUUUCAGUCAUGGUGCUGUGCAAAUAUGUUACAACUUAAUGCCUCGAAGUGCAAUGUUAUGACUUUUUAUCGCUCCAGCCCCUUCCUGGCUCCUUACACCCUCUGCGGUAGUUCUCUUGAGAGAAUUACAUUGGUUGAUGAUCUAGGUGUUAAACUAGACCCCAACUUAAAGUUCUCUGAACACAUUUCUACCAUGGUAAAUAAAGCCAUGGGUGUGUUUGGGUUUAUAAAGAGGUGGUCAAAGGAAUUUGAGGACCCCUAUAUAACGAAGGCUCUCUAUAUCUCGCUUGUUCGUCCGAUUUUAGAAUACGGCUCAUGUGUAUGGUGCCCUCAGUACAACAUACAUCAGGACCGUAUUGAAUCAGUACAGAAAAACUUUUUAUUAUUUGCCCUACGGGGCCUCAACUGGGAUGCAACUGUGAGACUGCCAUCCUACCGUAGUAGACUUCUUUUAAUAAAUCUUCCAUCCUUAGUUAGUCGUAGAAAAAUGCUUGGUGUAAUUUUUAUGCACAACUUGAUCAAGGGGGAUGUAGACAGCCCUGACUUGCUGAGCC